Molecule: ribosomal RNA, 447 nt
Filed under: uncultured bacterium
Lineage: Bacteria
Description: bacterial SSU rRNA
Rfam family: Bacterial small subunit ribosomal RNA
Source: RNAcentral
GAACGGAAAGGCCAUGCUUUUGUGGGGUGCUCGAGUGGCGAACGGGUGAGUGACACGUGAGUAACCUGCCCUUGACUUUGGGAUAACUUCAGGAAACUGGGGCUAAUACCGGAUAGGAGCUCCUGCUGCAUGGUGGGGGUUGGAAAGUUUCGGCGGUUGGGGAUGGACUCGCGGCUUAUCAGCUUGUUGGUGGGGUAGUGGCUUACCAAGGCUUUGACGGGUAGCCGGCCUGAGAGGGUGACCGGCCACAUUGGGACUGAGAUACGGCCCAGACUCCUACGGGAGGCAGCAGUGGGGAAUAUUGCACAAUGGGCGGAAGCCUGAUGCAGCAACGCCGCGUGCGGGAUGACGGCCUUCGGGUUGUAAACCGCUUUCGCCUGUGACGAAGCGUGAGUGACGGUAAUGGGUAAAGAAGCACCGGCUAACUACGUGCCAGCAGCCGCGGUA